Molecule: ribosomal RNA, 253 nt
Filed under: uncultured bacterium
Lineage: Bacteria
Description: partial 16S ribosomal RNA
Rfam family: Bacterial small subunit ribosomal RNA
Source: RNAcentral
UACGGAGGGUGCAAGCGUUGUCCGGAAUUAUUGGGCGUAAAGAGCUCGUAGGCGGUCUGUUGCGUCAGGAGUGAAAACUCGGGGCUUAACCCCGAGCCUGCUUCUGAUACGGGCAGACUAGAGGUAUGCAGGGGAGAACGGAAUUCCUGGUGUAGCGGUGAAAUGCGCAGAUAUCAGGAGGAACACCGGUGGCGAAGGCGGAUCUCUGGGCCUUACCUGACGCUGAGGCGCGAAAGCUAGGGGAGCGAACAGG